UGUUCUGUGGCUUAGUUGGUUAAAGCGCCGGUCUACCGAAUACGGAGUCGUGGGUUCGAAUCCCACCAGAACGC
This is a non-coding RNA of Aedes albopictus (Asian tiger mosquito), 74 nucleotides long. The record is from Rfam. Lineage: Eukaryota; Metazoa; Arthropoda; Insecta; Diptera; Culicidae.